Long non-coding RNA from Paramisgurnus dabryanus, 381 nucleotides. RefSeq lists it as uncharacterized. NCBI's taxonomy places the organism in Eukaryota, Metazoa, Chordata, Actinopteri, Cypriniformes, Cobitidae. The record is from RefSeq and is a predicted model, not a curated record.
AGGAGUGUUUCCCAUGCAAAUUAGAAUUUCUCUCAGUAAGGACUGACGGAUGGCCAUUCACUCAUAAAACCUUUUAAAGGUUAGCACGAAUGCAUCCAGCAUAAUUUUGGAUCUUUACCAUUGAGGAGACUGGCUGACUGUUCUCAACCAACCAUCAUUCACACGCAAAAACUUUAAAGGUAAGUAUGAACGUGUCUAGAGCAGUUUUGGAUCUUUACCAUUGAGGAGGUUGACUGACUUUCAUCUACCAACUGUCAUUAACACAACAAAAACUAAAGAAAUGUUACUACAAGUGGACCUAUUCAGUUACUCAUUAUGCUGUGAGUACACCACAAUUUUAUCAGUGAAACAAUAAUGUUUGUUUUUUCUCAAUGCUUGGCA